CUGAGGUAUGCUUGGUGUCGUGUCAAAAGCGCGCCGGUUACCCGCCCAUUUGUCAUAUGCGCUGGCCCUACCCUGCCGAAAGGCAGGGGCGGGUCAGGAACAUAACUUCGGUCGAGGUGUUGUGGCAGGUUCUUGCUCUGCAGGACCGACACGACCGCGGCCGGCCCCAUUUUACACUCUUGUGAGAAGAUGAAGUCUGAAGCAAAUGCGAAUUAAAAGCA
RNAcentral lists this unclassified non-coding RNA (221 nucleotides) under uncultured fungus. Its description in RNAcentral is "sequence contains ITS1, 5.8S rRNA gene". The record is from RNAcentral. Lineage: Eukaryota; Fungi. RNAcentral also lists the same sequence under 1 other name.